GGCAAAAUGAGAGCCCAACUGUCUCUUAUAACAAAUCAAUUAAACUGAUCUCCUAGUACAAAAGCUAGGAUUCACUCAUAAGACCAGAAGACCCUGUGAAGCUUCAAUUAACCUAUUAAACCCCUUAAUAACUAGUUUAGGUUGGGGCGACCUUGGAAUUAAAAAGAACUUCCAAAGAAUGACUACUCAUAUAAAAGGCAAACAAGCCACAAUUAGACCCAGUAUAUCUGAUAAAUGAACCAAGUUACUCCAGGGAUAACAGCGCUAUCUUCUUCAAGAGCCCAUAUCAAAAAGAAGGUUUACGACCUCGAUGUUGGAUCAGGACAUCCUAGUAAUGCAGCCGUUUCUAAGGGUUCGUUUGUUCAACGAUUAACAGUCCUACGUGA
Molecule: ribosomal RNA, 386 nt
Filed under: Atheris barbouri
Lineage: Eukaryota; Metazoa; Chordata; Lepidosauria; Squamata; Viperidae
Description: partial 16S ribosomal RNA
Rfam family: Bacterial large subunit ribosomal RNA
Source: RNAcentral